RNAcentral lists this ribosomal RNA (2944 nucleotides) under Priestia megaterium. Its description in RNAcentral is "Bacillus megaterium 23S ribosomal RNA". It matches the Rfam family "Bacterial large subunit ribosomal RNA". RNAcentral also lists the same sequence under 1 other name. Lineage: Bacteria; Bacillati; Bacillota; Bacilli; Caryophanales; Bacillaceae. The record is from RNAcentral.
AUGGUUAAGUUAGAAAGGGCGCACGGUGAAUGCCUUGGCACUAGGAGCCGAUGAAGGACGGGACUAACACCGAUAUGCUUCGGGGAGCUGUAAGUGAGCUUUGAUCCGGAGAUUUCCGAAUGGGGAAACCCACUGUUCGUAAUGGAACAGUAUCUUUAUCUGAAUACAUAGGAUAUUGAAGGCAGACCCGGGGAACUGAAACAUCUAAGUACCCGGAGGAAGAGAAAGCAAAUGCGAUUUCCUGAGUAGCGGCGAGCGAAACGGAAUUAGCCCAAACCAAGAGGCUUGCCUCUUGGGGUUGUAGGACACUCUAUACGGAGUUACAAAGGAACGAAGUAAAUGAAGCGACCUGGAAAGGUCCGUCGAAGAAGGUAACAACCCUGUAGUUGAAACUUCGUUCCCUCUUGAGUGGAUCCUGAGUACGGCGGAACACGUGAAAUUCCGUCGGAAGCUGGGAGGACCAUCUCCCAAGGCUAAAUACUACCUAGUGACCGAUAGUGAACCAGUACCGUGAGGGAAAGGUGAAAAGCACCCCGGAAGGGGAGUGAAAGAGAUCCUGAAACCGUGUGCCUACAAGUAGUCAGAGCCCGUUAACGGGUGAUGGCGUGCCUUUUGUAGAAUGAACCGGCGAGUUACGAUCCCAUGCAAGGUUAAGCUGAUAAGGCGGAGCCGUAGCGAAAGCGAGUCUGAAUAGGGCGUUUAGUAUGUGGUUGUAGACCCGAAACCAGGUGAUCUACCCAUGUCCAGGGUGAAGUUCAGGUAACACUGAAUGGAGGCCCGAACCCACGCACGUUGAAAAGUGCGGGGAUGAGGUGUGGGUAGCGGAGAAAUUCCAAUCGAACCUGGAGAUAGCUGGUUCUCUCCGAAAUAGCUUUAGGGCUAGCCUCAUGUUGUGAGAGUCUUGGAGGUAGAGCACUGAUUGGACUAGGGGCCCCCAACGGGUUACCGAAUUCAGUCAAACUCCGAAUGCCAAAGACUUAUCCAUGGGAGUCAGACUGCGAGUGAUAAGAUCCGUAGUCAAAAGGGAAACAGCCCAGACCACCAGCUAAGGUCCCCAAGUAUACGUUAAGUGGAAAAGGAUGUGGAGUUGCUUAGACAACCAGGAUGUUGGCUUAGAAGCAGCCACCAUUUAAAGAGUGCGUAAUAGCUCACUGGUCGAGUGACUCUGCGCCGAAAAUGUACCGGGGCUAAACGUAUCACCGAAGCUGUGGAUUGACAUCUUUGAUGUCAGUGGUAGGAGAGCGUUCUAAGUGCAGCGAAGUCAGACCGUAAGGACUGGUGGAGCGCUUAGAAGUGAGAAUGCCGGUAUGAGUAGCGAAAGACAAGUGAGAAUCUUGUCCACCGAAUGCCUAAGGUUUCCUGAGGAAGGCUCGUCCGCUCAGGGUUAGUCGGGACCUAAGCCGAGGCUGAAAAGCGUAGGCGAUGGCCAACAGGUUGAUAUUCCUGUACCACCUCCCCGCCGUUUGAGUAAUGGGGGGACGCAGUAGGAUAGGGUAAGCGCGCUGCUGGAUAUGCGCGUUCAAGCAGUUAGGCUGAUGAGUAGGCAAAUCCGCUCAUCAUAAAGGCUGAGCUGUGAUGACGAGGGAAUUAUAGUACCGAAGUUCCUGAUUCCACACUGCCAAGAAAAGCCUCUAGCGAGGCGGGAGGUGCCCGUACCGCAAACCGACACAGGUAGGCGAGGAGAGAAUCCUAAGGUGAUCGAGAGAACUCUCGUUAAGGAACUCGGCAAAAUGACCCCGUAACUUCGGGAGAAGGGGUGCUCUGGUAGGGUGUAUAGCCCGAGAGAGCCGCAGUGAAUAGGCCCAGGCGACUGUUUAGCAAAAACACAGGUCUCUGCGAAGCCGCAAGGCGAAGUAUAGGGGCUGACGCCUGCCCGGUGCUGGAAGGUUAAGAGGAGGGGUUAUCCUUUGGGAGAAGCUCUGAAUCGAAGCCCCAGUAAACGGCGGCCGUAACUAUAACGGUCCUAAGGUAGCGAAAUUCCUUGUCGGGUAAGUUCCGACCCGCACGAAAGGCGUAACGAUCUGGGCACUGUCUCAACGAGAGACUCGGUGAAAUUAUAGUACCUGUGAAGAUGCAGGUUACCCGCGACAGGACGGAAAGACCCCGUGGAGCUUUACUGUAGCCUGAUAUUGAAUUUUGGUACAGCUUGUACAGGAUAGGUAGGAGCCUGAGAAGCCGGAGCGCUAGCUUCGGUGGAGGCGUCGGUGGGAUACUACCCUGGCUGUAUUGAAAUUCUAACCCGCGGCCCUGAUCGGGCCGGGAGACAGUGUCAGGUGGGCAGUUUGACUGGGGCGGUCGCCUCCUAAAAUGUAACGGAGGCGCCCAAAGGUUCCCUCAGAAUGGUUGGAAAUCAUUCGUAGAGUGUAAAGGCACAAGGGAGCUUGACUGCGAGACCUACAAGUCGAGCAGGGACGAAAGUCGGGCUUAGUGAUCCGGUGGUUCCGCAUGGAAGGGCCAUCGCUCAACGGAUAAAAGCUACCCCGGGGAUAACAGGCUUAUCUCCCCCAAGAGUCCACAUCGACGGGGAGGUUUGGCACCUCGAUGUCGGCUCAUCGCAUCCUGGGGCUGUAGUCGGUCCCAAGGGUUGGGCUGUUCGCCCAUUAAAGCGGUACGCGAGCUGGGUUCAGAACGUCGUGAGACAGUUCGGUCCCUAUCCGUCGUGGGCGUAGGAAAUUUGAGAGGAGCUGUCCUUAGUACGAGAGGACCGGGAUGGACACACCGCUGGUGUACCAGUUGUCUUGCCAAAGGCAUCGCUGGGUAGCUAUGUGUGGACGGGAUAAGUGCUGAAAGCAUCUAAGCAUGAAGCCCCCCUCAAGAUGAGAUUUCCCAUAGCGCAAGCUAGUAAGAUCCCUGAAAGAUGAUCAGGUUGAUAGGUCAGAGGUGGAAGCGUGGCGACAUGUGUAGCUGACUGAUACUAAUCGAUCGAGGACUUAACCAAAUUUUA